AUUGAACGCUGGCGGCAGGCCUAACACAUGCAAGUCGAGCGGAUGAAGGGAGCUUGCUCCUGGAUUCAGCGGCGGACGGGUGAGUAAUGCCUAGGAAUCUGCCUGGUAGUGGGGGAUAACGUCCGGUAACGGGCGCUAAUACCGCAUACGUCCUGAGUGAGAAAGUGGGGGAUCUUCGGAGCUCGCGCUAUCAGAUGAGCCUAGGUCGGAUUAGCUAGUUGGUGGGGUAAAGGCCUACCAAGGCGACGAUCCGUAACUGGUCUGAGAGGAUGAUCAGUCACACUGGAACUGAGACACGGUCCAGACUCCUACGGGAGGCAGCAGUGGGGAAUAUUGGACAAUGGGCGAAAGCCUGAUCCAGCCAUGCCGCGUGUGUGAAGAAGGUCUUCGGAUCGUAAAGCACUUUAAGUUGGGAGGAAGGGCAGUAAGUUAAUACCUUGCUGUUUUGACGUUACCAACAGAAUAAGCACCGGCUAACUUCGUG
This 484-nucleotide ribosomal RNA is filed under the name uncultured bacterium. RNAcentral describes it as "partial 16S ribosomal RNA". It matches the Rfam family "Bacterial small subunit ribosomal RNA", at positions 30 to 507 of the family's 1533-position model. The record is from RNAcentral.